RNAcentral lists this ribosomal RNA (253 nucleotides) under uncultured bacterium. Its description in RNAcentral is "partial 16S ribosomal RNA". It matches the Rfam family "Bacterial small subunit ribosomal RNA", at positions 524 to 776 of the family's 1533-position model. The record is from RNAcentral.
UACGAAGGGAGCUAGCGUUGUUCGGAAUCACUGGGCGUAAAGCGCACGUAGGCGGAUGUGUCAGUCAGGGGUGAAAUCCCGGAGCUCAACUUCGGAACUGCCUUUGAUACAGCACGUCUUGAGUCCGAUAGAGGUGGGUGGAAUUCCUAGUGUAGAGGUGAAAUUCGUAGAUAUUAGGAAGAACACCGGUGGCGAAGGCGGCCCACUGGCUCGAUACUGACGCUGAGGUGCGAAAGCGUGGGGAGCAAACAGG